This 309-nucleotide ribosomal RNA is filed under the name uncultured bacterium. Its description in RNAcentral is "bacterial SSU rRNA". It matches the Rfam family "Bacterial small subunit ribosomal RNA", at positions 28 to 334 of the family's 1533-position model. The record is from RNAcentral.
GAUGAACGCUAGCGGCAGGCCUAAUACAUGCAAGUCGAGGGGCAGCACGAGAUUUCGGUCUUGGUGGCGACCGGCGCACGGGUGCGUAACGCGUAUGCAACCUACCUUAUACAGGGGAAUAGCCCAGAGAAAUUUGGAUUAAUACCCCAUAGUACCAUUUGAUGGCAUCUGAAGAUGGUUAAAGAUUUAUCGGUAUAAGAUGGGCAUGCGUAAGAUUAGCUAGUUGGUGAGGUAAUGGCUCACCAAGGCGACGAUCUUUAGGGGUUCUGAGAGGAUGAUCCCCCACACUGGUACUGAGAUACGGACCAG